GACGACAGCCUCCCAGAGCCUUCAAAGUCACCACCAAACAAGCCGUCGAUCCCAACGCAGCCAAUGAUGCAGGCAGAGGGAACCAUGUGCUUAAAACAGCUGAUAAGCAGCAGGGUGGCUCCAGUGGCGUGGUGAUAGCCGUGGUGGUGUGUGUCCUAAUGCUGCUGCUGCUGGUGGCACUCCUCUACUUCCUCAACAAGAAGGGCAAGCUGCCCUGCAGCAAGAAGGAUGAGAAGGAAGUGGCAAGUGGGGAUGUGAAUAAUGACAUUGUGGUGGAGAUGAAGACAGAAAAGGCCAAUGAAGAAGCUGGCCUCUUGAACAAGCCAGCAGCACAGCAGGUCAGAGGGCAGGGGUCACUGGC
Salvelinus sp. IW2-2015 is the source of this 361-nucleotide non-coding RNA. The record is from RefSeq and is a predicted model, not a curated record. NCBI's taxonomy places the organism in Eukaryota, Metazoa, Chordata, Actinopteri, Salmoniformes, Salmonidae.